RNAcentral lists this ribosomal RNA (109 nucleotides) under Castor canadensis (American beaver). The record is from RNAcentral. Lineage: Eukaryota; Metazoa; Chordata; Mammalia; Rodentia; Castoridae.
GUCUAAGGCCAUAUCACCCUGAGACCAAUCUCAUCUGGUCUCAAAAGCCAAGCAGGGUGGGGCCUGGCUAGUACUUGAACAGAUCUUCAGAAGAGACUGCUCAGAGACA